GCUAUAUCACAAUGAAACACUGGUGUCCGCACGAUCACCGAAGUUAAGCAACGUCGAGCCUGGUCAUUACCUAGAUGGUUAACCGCUUAGGAAUACCAGGUGCUGUAA
This is a non-coding RNA of Acanthosepion pharaonis, 108 nucleotides long. The record is from the annotation of a GenBank genome assembly. Lineage: Eukaryota; Metazoa; Mollusca; Cephalopoda; Sepiida; Sepiidae.